UACAGAGGUGGCAAGCGUUGUUCGGAAUUACUGGGCGUAAAGGGCGAGUAGGCGGCCUUCUAAGUCAGACGUGAAAUCCCCCGGCUUAACCUGGGAACUGCGUCUGAUACUGGGAGGCUAGAGUUUGGGAGAGGGAGGUAGAAUUCCAGGUGUAGCGGUGAAAUGCGUAGAUAUCUGGAGGAAUACCGGUGGCGAAGGCGGCCUCCUGGACCAAUACUGACGCUGAUCCGCGAAAGCUAGGGGAGCAAACGGG
RNAcentral lists this ribosomal RNA (253 nucleotides) under uncultured bacterium. Its description in RNAcentral is "partial 16S ribosomal RNA". It matches the Rfam family "Bacterial small subunit ribosomal RNA", at positions 524 to 776 of the family's 1533-position model. The record is from RNAcentral.